RNAcentral lists this ribosomal RNA (253 nucleotides) under uncultured bacterium. RNAcentral describes it as "partial 16S ribosomal RNA". It matches the Rfam family "Bacterial small subunit ribosomal RNA", at positions 524 to 776 of the family's 1533-position model. The record is from RNAcentral.
UACGUAGGUGGCAAGCGUUGUCCGGAAUCACUGGGCGUAAAGCGACCGCAGGCGGCCUGACAAGUCGGAUGUGAAAGCCCUGGGCUCAACUCAGGAAUUGCAUUCGAAACUGGCAGGCUUGAGUACGGGAGAGGGGGGUGGAAUUCCUGGUGUAGGGGUGAAAUUCGUUGAUAUCAGGAGGAACACCGGCGGCGAAGGCGGCCCCCUGGCCCGCAACUGACGCUCAUGGUCGAAAGCGUGGGGAGCAAACAGG